CCUACGGGAGGCAGCAGUGGGGAAUCUUGCGCAAUGGGCGAAAGCCUGACGCAGCCAUGCCGCGUGAAUGAUGAAGGUCUUAGGAUUGUAAAAUUCUUUCACCGGGGACGAUAAUGACGGUACCCGGAGAAGAAGCCCCGGCUAACUUCGUGCCAGCAGCCGCGGUAAUACGAAGGGGGCUAGCGUUGCUCGGAAUUACUGGGCGUAAAGGGAGCGUAGGCGGAUAGUUUAGUCAGAGGUGAAAGCCCAGGGCUCAACCCUGGAAUUGCCUUUGAUACUGGCUAUCUUGAGUGUGGGAGAGGUAUGUGGAACUCCGAGUGUAGAGGUGAAAUUCGUAGAUAUUCGGAAGAACACCAGUGGCGAAGGCGACAUACUGGCCCAUUACUGACGCUGAGGCUCGAAAGCGUGGGGAGCAAACAGGAUUAGAUACCCUGGUAGUCCACGCUGUAAACGAUGAGUGCUAGUUGUCGGCAUGCAUGCAUGUCGGUGACGCAGCUACGACUAUUAAGACACUCCGCCGUCGGGGUAGGUACGGUCGGCGAAGUAAGUUAAACGUUAACGAAAGUAAGUUAGUUACGGACGNGAGAGACGCGACGACGACGACGACGGAGGAGG
Molecule: ribosomal RNA, 615 nt
Filed under: uncultured bacterium
Lineage: Bacteria
Description: bacterial SSU rRNA
Rfam family: Bacterial small subunit ribosomal RNA (bases 1-519)
Source: RNAcentral